Molecule: non-coding RNA, 71 nt
Organism: Rhizoclosmatium globosum
Lineage: Eukaryota; Fungi; Chytridiomycota; Chytridiomycetes; Chytridiales; Chytriomycetaceae
Source: the annotation of a GenBank genome assembly
GUUCGUUGCUCAGUGGUUUGAAUGCUGCCCUGUCGCUGCGGAAGUUGCAGGUUCGAGUCCUGAUCAUGGCA